Molecule: ribosomal RNA, 492 nt
Filed under: uncultured bacterium
Lineage: Bacteria
Description: partial 16S ribosomal RNA
Rfam family: Bacterial small subunit ribosomal RNA
Source: RNAcentral
AGUGAACGCUGGCGGUAGGCCUAACACAUGCAAGUCGAACGGCAGCACAGUAAGAGCUUGCUCUUACGGGUGGCGAGUGGCGGACGGGUUAGGAAUACAUCGGAAUCUACUUUUUCGUGGGGGAUAACGUAGGGAAACUUACGCUAAUACUGCAUACGACCUACGGGUUAACGCAGGGGAUCUUCAGACCUUGCGUGAUUGUAUGAGCCGAUGUCGGAUUAGCUAGUUGGCGGGGUAAAGGCCCACCAAGGCGACGAUCCGUAGCUGGUCUGAGAGGAUGAUCAGCCACACUGGAACUGAGACACGGUCCAGACUCCUACGGGAGGCAGCAGUGGGGAAUAUUGGACAAUGGGCGCAAGCCUGAUCCAGCCAUACCGCGUGGGUGAAGAAGGCCUUCGGGUUGUAAAGCCCUUUUGUUGGGAAAGAAAAGCAGCAGGUUAAUACCCCGCUGUUCUGACGGUACCCAAAGAAUAAGCACCGGCUAACUUCGUG